ACACCCUGUGCUAGAAAACUGGCUGAGAAACUGCACUAUGAACUUUGUUUCUAACAAUUCUGCUGCUGCGCUUUGACUGAUGUUCCACCAACAAAUCAGAUCAUAGUUUGUACUUCUAAUUGCAGCCACUGUAACAGUAUCUUUACGCAGUCUUUCCAUUCCAUCUCAAGAGUGUCCUCCUAGCCUCGCCUUUUUCCUAUUUAAUAUCUCCUGCACAACCUCUUCAGAAAUAAUUGGUAGUUUGAAAUGAGCUGAACUUAUGCUGCAAGGGGAGAUUCUGGAGCACAGAUAUCGUGGGUGGGAUUUCCACGCCCAGUCUGUGGAGACAGCACAUAACCUGGCGGUCAACAAUCAUAGAAUCACCAAGGUUGGAAACCUCCAAGAUCAAGCAGCCCAACCUUCACACUCCACCAAUACUUCCCCGCUAAACCACCUCCCUCAGUACAACAACGUCUGCCGUUGGAGUUACAGCUCCCGGCUUCGGGGAGCCCAGCAGAAACUCUUUUGUUCCUGUCUUCCGGGCCUUGCAAUUUUAAAUCAGCAGAGAGAAGAGGAAGCAGGGAGACUCCAGCUCGUAUCUUACCUUUGCAGGAUGCAACUGAACCACUCCCUAACCUCCUGCAUCAAGCUGAAAAAGUUUGCUCCCAGGCCAAGUCUUCAGCCAGAAAAUAUUCCUGGACCUUCCCAUUCAAAAGCAAACAGCUUCUGGCUCUGUCUAAAGGAAUGCCUUCAAAUGUAAAACUGACCACUAACUGUUGCUAAUUGCCUGCUGCUGCUUUCAGACAACACAUUCCUUACCAGUCUCAGACGCUUUUUUUUCCUCACUAACCAGCUGCUCCAUUUUUUUAUAAUAGAAAAAGUGACCUCAGUAGAGAUUCAACUAGAAAUUUAAACAACUAGGAUCAACUCUGCCAAGUGGACUUUAAGAAAGUUAUGCUUUUCUAAUUUUAUAAACGUAUAUUUCGUUUAAUGUCCCAAAGCAAGUACAAUUGAGGUUUUAGAAGUAUAAAGCAACAAACCAGCAGUAGUAACUAGAUAAAAGCUGGACUUGAGGAAGAAAAGUCCCACUUCUUGUUCCUAACAGAAGCAAAUGUAAUAAAUGCAAACCCUGUCCAAAGCAGCAAUGGCAGCGGCUGAUGAAAAGUGAGAGCAGGGAGAAAUCCCUUGAGACUGCAGUGUAGCAGGUACAAGUCUUUCUCACGUCUGGGGCUCAACUCAGUCACAUUUUGCACUGCUAAGAUCUGUAAAGUGAUUCACGUUCCUUCAAGAUUUAGCAAGGUUUCUCUAACUCAAACCUUUAUGGAACAUGACCUUUUUGGUACUUUCUACUUCUGCAAUAUGAGGGACAUGUUUCUUUUUACGAGUCGCUGAAACUCCUGAAAACCAAACAGCAUUUCCAUCUCAGAGUAACCAGGCUUCAGGCUUUUCUUCCAUACACCACCAGAAAUUAAAUAAAUUUAUCAAAAUACUUGACUGGAAAAACAAAACGAACAGAACAGAAAUGUAUGCUGAAACGGGUACCUUCAGUGUGUCUGUAUAAAAGAUGGACAAAGCUGGCUGAUUCCCCCACCCUGUGAGCUGAAAGCCUUCUGUGUCUCUCCCGCCUUCCGUCAGCUAAUGAACGUCAAUUGACAUAAGUGGCACAGUGACAUCCACUAAUUAGACUAUCACUUAACUCGGGAAGUGUGACAGCAUGAACAUGUUUUGGAGAACAAUCAGAAUACUGUAAAAGCAAUAUUAAAAUUCCUGGCUUUCUACAAAAUAUAUAUGUACAUUGCAUAUGUAUAUACACACAUACACAUAAGACAAAAUCAUUUCUAGUUUAAGACAGAAUUACUUUCAUUUCACAAUGAAAUUUUCAGAACUCAUCUUCAUGUUUCUCUAGUAACAGUGCUUCUUGAUGAAUACCAUGAGUGGCACAACAUUUAAGUUUCACAACUCUUGAUUUUCAUCCCCUUGAUAUCAGACAGUAUUCACUAUGGCAAUAACAUUACACAGUCACGUAAUCUCUGUAGAAGUAAAAAAUAAAAUAAAAUGAAAAUAAGUAUUUAGUAAAAAGAACUAAGUAAGAUAAAGAAUUAUUAAGAAGUUAGAGAAAUAAUAGCCCUAGACAAACUUAAGAGGAACAUGGCCAUCAUUUCCUUAAAUAGCCUCAAUAUUGUUUGUCUGCUGGUGUAUCUGCUUUUGAGAAAUUAGCAUUUGAAAUUUUCUUAUCAAGGUUUCUUUAGGGAGGUGUAAUUCAAGGCCUAUGAAAGGAACAGGAAAGUAAUCACUCACUCUUGAAAAGCGUGGGCUCACCUCUAAUCCCAUUCUUCUCCUCACUUCUGUAAAGCGUUAGUUCAAAGACAACUAUAUAGGUUUGAUUGUAUAUGUAUGUGUGUGUGUGUGUAUUUUGUAUACAGGAUAUAUACACACACACACACACACACACACACAUAUAUAUAUAUAUGUAUAUAUACAUACCACCUUCUCAGAGCCGUUAUAAAUUAUAUUACAUUACAUCAGUCUUCUUUGAAGUUUCCAUCACAUAUGAAAUAGAUGCCUUCCGGUUACAGAAUAUCCAGGCUUAGACAAGUGACGUGCUUUGUGUUAUUCAUUUAUUUGUCCUACACUCACAAUAUUUUUACGUUAUUCUUCACUGGCAGUACCACAGGACUGUCAGCAGAAACCACCACGGUAGUGCAGUUUUCUGGUGUUUGUGCUAUAAUCAAAUUAACAGAGAUUCUAGCACCUAUUGAAGCACUCAGAAUAUCCGCAAUCAGUUCUCCAAAUGAUUUAAACAAGGAGAUAGUCUUAUUUGCACAUCAGCAAUUUCCACUCCAACAGAAACAAGACUGAAGCAAAAGAAAGAAUUCUUUCCAACAAUUGCCACUGUUCAUACUCGAAGGAUGUUUAUUACAAGGAAACGUGAAGUGUGUUAGUGAAAGGAUAUAGCUAAUGUGACAUUAAAGUAAAACCAGCAUGAUGACCUACUUUUGUUUCUGCUGAAUUAAGUUACAUUUUGUCUUGCCUUGAGAGACUGAAUAUCAUUAGUUAGAGUACCAGGCAUAUUACGCGCUUACCUUCAGUGACAGAUCAAAGCAGCGAGGUAAUCCAGGGACAACAGUGUUGAGCUGUAUGACAGUUGUGCACAGUGGAGUCCUGGGAGGAGGUCACUGCCUAUACAGAAUAAGCAAACAGUGUAAGUUGCUGGGAUAAGUAUCCUUGGGAAAUAUCCUGGGAUAUUUCAGUGUAAGUGCAAUCCAAGAUGCUGAAAUCAAUACAAAUGUGAAACCCAUUUCUAAUUUGCUGUGUUAUGAGAAACGGAUGAGUAAAAACAUAGCGUCUUUUUGAAAUGGACUAUUUUACCUACUUACUUGAAUAUAUAUGUGCAUCAUCAAUACAUUGACAUCAUAAUUCAUCAAAAGGUAUCUAUGGAUACUCCAAACAUUCCUACUUCAAAAGAUUUGUAGGAUCAGAAAACUCCAACAACCUUGAUUCUGAACCUUGGAUGGCCUUGAGCCAUUCACAGCUAUGAACUUAAUCUUUGCUGAAACAAAUGUUUGUAAAGUGAAGUGGAUGUGGAUAAGAUUAUGAAAGAGCAAACCUUAUUUUGUGAUGAGCCCAGAGUUCCUGACACUGCACAGCAUGGACACCGUGGUAUUUGUUAUUCACUAACCUUUCGUGCACUUUCUAGUGUAAAGGACAUAAAAUAUCAACCAAUGUAACUUCCUUUUUUUUGUAUCUCGUAUGACUGCAUCUGUCAAAAAAGCUAACUUACUGAUUAAUGAACUCCAAAGAUAAUCUGUGAAAUUGUGUUCAACUAUUGAUCAUUUUCUGACAUUUCCUGCUGCAAAUAAAGGUGUUUGCUCUUUUUUCCACACACAUUUUUCCUCCUCUAUAUAUAAGUACAGAGAAUCUUUCAGUACGUUUACAACAAAUGAAGUCAAAGACUUCACUUCUGGUAGAAAUGACAGAAAGACUCAAAUGUGAUGCCCACAUUACAGUGAAUAUACUUUCAGAAAACUGAGGUCAUUUUUCAUUGUUUGCACAAGUUGGGAUUAAGUCUCUAAAACCAACACACUAUUUCUUCAAACAAAUCACUGUAUACACCUGAUUAAAUCAGAGUACUUUACAUUAGAAGGCAAAUGUGUUUUAGUAAAACCCCA
This 4148-nucleotide long non-coding RNA is filed under the name Gallus gallus (chicken). Its description in RNAcentral is "lncRNA (ENSGALG00010001607.1)". The record is from RNAcentral. Lineage: Eukaryota; Metazoa; Chordata; Aves; Galliformes; Phasianidae.